RNAcentral lists this ribosomal RNA (407 nucleotides) under uncultured Citrobacter sp. Its description in RNAcentral is "bacterial SSU rRNA". It matches the Rfam family "Bacterial small subunit ribosomal RNA", at positions 983 to 1393 of the family's 1533-position model. Lineage: Bacteria; Pseudomonadati; Pseudomonadota; Gammaproteobacteria; Enterobacterales; Enterobacteriaceae. The record is from RNAcentral.
GGGAUACAAGUACUUGGAGAGAUGCCUUGGUGCUUCGGGACUCGUGAGACAGGUGCUGCAUGGCUGUCGUCAGCUCGUGUUGUGAAAUGUUGGGUUAAGUCCCGCAACGAGCGCAACCCUUAUCCUUUGUUGCCAGCGGUCCGGCCGGGAACUCAAAGGAGACUGCCAGUGAUAAACUGGAGGAAGGUGGGGAUGACGUCAAGUCAUCAUGGCCCUUACGACCAGGGCUACACACGUGCUACAAUGGCAUAUACAAAGAGAAGCGACCUCGCGAGAGCAAGCGGACCUCAUAAAGUAUGUCGUAGUCCGGAUUGGAGUCUGCAACUCGACUCCAUGAAGUCGGAAUCGCUAGUAAUCGUGGAUCAGAAUGCCACGGUGAAUACGUUCCCGGGUCUUGUACACACCGA